GGACCCGCACAAGCGGUGGAUGAUGUGGAUUAAUUCGAUGCAACGCGAAAAACCUUACCUACCCUUGACAUGGCAGGAAUCCUGGAGAGAUCUGGGAGUGCUCGAAAGAGAACCUGCACACAGGUGCUGCAUGGCUGUCGUCAGCUCGUGUCGUGAGAUGUUGGGUUAAGUCCCGCAACGAGCGCAACCCUUGUCAUUAGUUGCUACGAAAGGGCACUCUAAUGAGACUGCCGGUGACAAACCGGAGGAAGGUGGGGAUGACGUCAAGUCCUCAUGGCCCUUAUGGGUAGGGCUUCACACGUCAUACAAUGGUACAUACAGAGGGCCGCCAACCCGCGAGGGGGAGCUAAUCCCAGAAAGUGUAUCGUAGUCCGGAUUGCAGUCUGCAACUCGACUGCAUGAAGUUGGAAUCGCUAGUAAUCGCGGAUCAGCAUGUCGCGGUGAAUACGUUCCCGGGUCUU
Molecule: ribosomal RNA, 461 nt
Filed under: uncultured bacterium
Lineage: Bacteria
Description: bacterial SSU rRNA
Rfam family: Bacterial small subunit ribosomal RNA
Source: RNAcentral